UUAUACGCAGUGAUGAGAGAGGGAUGAUGCAAAAUGACCGAGUUACGUGGAACUUCCGACCACUAAGGUACACUCGACAGUCUCUUGGAGUAGAUUUACAUGUAAAGCACGAUACUUGGACUUCCUGACCAUACAUAUGCGAAUGACUGUUCUGAUAGUGACACGAUUAUUUACGUACAAACAAAAUACUACUCUUGGAUGCUUGAAAUGGAAAGAAUUUCAUCAAACAAAAAGAGUUCAGAUAUCAAUAAAAGCGAUUACGAUAAUGGUAACAAUCAUAAUACUGAGGUAAUACAUUAGUCAUAUAUGUAUAUUCUUGAACUGAAAGCCGCUCAAUGAUAAUAGAAGAGAAACUAAUUACUCAUUCCUCUGUUUAUAUACUACAUGGAGGAAUUGUGGACUGAGGACUUGAGGAACGUGCACUGUGUUUUAUAACAAAGAGAAAUGAGAACCACUUUAGGCUCUCGUACGUUCGUCGCUCGCUGCUGACUCGGCUGCACCGCAUCAACGAUAUUUUCUACUCAUGCAUAUCAAACUUGUCUAUUUCGACUGGCAUUUGCCGGUCAUGCCAGAUGUACACGGAAGUGACGCCAGGUCGCGUGGUACUUUGUUUUUGGGAAUAGAUGCGCGCGCAGCACGCCGCCGGCCACGUAUAAACAUCACGCGAGAGAGUCGGUUCCGUUGAUAUAUCAGUGUACGUAUUUAUAUACAUUCAGACACAGGCGCAGCCAGUAAAGUGGCGUCCAUGAUGGCGUUGCGAGCUUGUGCGCAAUACGUGUGCACCCGGCAUACAUAUGUAUGUACGCUGUGUGCCAUGGAUACAAGAAGCUUUUUCCAAGCAUACACGAAAACGUGCGAAUUUCUCAUAGGAGCAUUAUCCAGUUUACACUGGCGUUCAAUGUGAAUUAUGUCGUAGAUAUCAUUAUUGCCAGGAAAAUCCUAUAACUGUUAUGCUAUACGGUUAAUAACCCGUCUAGCAACCUAACCGAACAGAUUAACUAGGAUGGCUGCGCUUUUACGGUAGAACGAUAAUUUGAAGAAGACGAUUUAACUGGGUAAAUAUUUCAAACUGGAAUACGGGUAUACUUUUCCAGUACAGCUAGUCUUCAGGACACCUGAGACCUUGACCAUGACCGUAAUGAGAUAAGUAUUGUAUUCCGAUUGUGUGGGUCAUGACGGCGCUACUUUAAUUACAAAUAUUUCUUAUUACUUUUAUGACAAACUUUUCACAAUUCAUUAUAUUCGAUCAAGCACUCCGUCCAUGAUUAUCGAUUCUUUCUUACAUGCCCGAUCGACUAAAGGUCGUUUUUUAUUCACUUACUAUAUCAAACUGUUGAACAUAAAAUAUGUCUAGGAAUUUGAUGCUCCUAGAAUUCACAUAUAGCCAUAAGAACCAAAAGACGUUCUUGUUCGAACCUGCAUGUAACGGAAUACAGGAGGUCACCCGACUUACCGACCGAGUUUGUAUAACCGAUACAAGAAGCUGGAACUGAGAAUUUGUUACGGACACCCAGUAUCGAGAUCCAUGCCAGCUCUGCUUCGAAGGCACGCAUGACCCGACCGGUUUGACCAAUGAGAAGGCAUUUUAAAUACGCCUAUAGUCCAUUCGAUUAUACUCGCUGGUUAUAGUUGACGAUAUUGUAUUACGACGCGUUUUAUGUGGUUUCAGACUUCAAGAGGCCACGACCAUAAACGGUCUGAUUUUAUUCUCCAGCAAGACCAUCCGCGUAAGUCAGAUGCCAGCUGCAGAAUAGAAUUUACCUAUUUAGCAAUCGUACGAAAGACUAUGAAAAAUUCGCAAACGAAACUUAAACAGGUAGGUAGUGUCACACGUGUGUCACACACACGUUUUGAAUUCCUGAAUCGACCAUUAGAAUUCAAUGCAUUGGACAUCCAGAGGGACUCCACCACGGUUAUGGCGAGAAAGUUCAGACCUGCGGCCAUUUCUUUAUCGAUCAAUACACUGGUCCAUUCAAGAGUUCCUCCGACUGCCUAUCACACUUAAAAGAGAGCGACGUAGAUAACAGGAAAGAAAGUAAUCAACGAUAAGAUUUAAUUAUUCUUCUUACGUAUCUUCUCUCUCUGGCCUUCUUUUCUCUCUCUUCAUCUUCUAAAACAAAACCUUCAGAAUUCAAGAUCGCCUUCGAUAGAUUAGAAGAAAAAAUGUGAUUUCUACCAGUGCGAAUCAGCGAGAUACCUUUCGUCACACAGAGACGUAGGUUUCACGAGAUUUGCAAUACACCAGUCAUCGAUGUCUUGAUAAAGAGCCACAAGGAACUCCAUUGUACCGGGUGCUCGGAGGAUUUAUUAUUCACAGUACAUAAAAGUCAGGACACACCGUCAUUCCCCAAGUAUUCCAGACUCUGGACUGACAUUCCAUGAAAAAGAAUGGCAUGCAACUGAAGAAACAAGCGCCAAUUAAAUUAAAAUGCUUUGCUCGGUGAGCCACGAGCUGUACUGAUAAUAUUAUUUUAAAUUUCCAGCCACAAAGAUAUCUAAUUACUAAUCGCAUAAUAUCGUCGUGUGCGAUAAAAAUGAUUUAAGAACAGACAUAAAUAUCCACGUCUAUCUAAUACUCGUGAUAAUGUAGUUUGCAAAUUAGGUCAUCCUCUUGUUUCAUACUUAGUUGCUAUUUAGUUCUCAAUAUCUUUAAUCUUCUCUCUCGAUAUCUCUUUCUACAAAUCCAUUACCCCUUCUCUCCUGACCUCUUGGUCACUAUCGCUUCUCUCAGGCUCCACACCCACGCCAGAGAAGCCCUUCCCUGAACUCCUCUGGGAGCUCGUGGCGUCCUUGAAGGUAUCCUGGCGAAAGUACAUUUUGAAUUUCCCACGGUGCGUGUAUACGACCGAUCGACAGUAACGAUUGGAGCUGAAUGAAUAAUACACGUGCUCACGCCAUUCAGUACACUUGUGCACGAAUGACAAUGAAGCUACAGUUAAACAAUUCAAUGUAUGAUUAGAAGUCACAGCAUUUGAUUACGGUCUUUACAUUGAGAUUGCUAAAGACAAAUGUCCCUGUGUCAUGACAGGCGAACCGUCGGGAGGUAAAAGAAAAUCGGGGAAGUAUUUAUAUAUAUAGAAUGGGCGGUAUUGGUUUUUAUCAAUUACAGUAGAGUCCGGAUUAUUCGAGCUCGCAUCCGAUUCGCGUGAAUGCGUGUUACGCGAGCUUGUGAAGAUAUGCAUAGACAUGUGCGACGUGUUCAAAGUGGCACGUUCGUAGUAGAUGCUGUUAGUAGUAUCUAGUUACAUAAAAUGCGCUUUUAUUUACUAACAAAAUUGAGUCUGUAUUAUUUUAAUUUUUUUAAUCCGAACUAGGGAUGCUUCAAAACAACUUGGAUAAUCGGGGUUCUAUUGUAUAUUGAAAAAAUAGAUUGAAUAUUUCAGUUUAACUCGGUCGAUAAAGUCACGGUCUAUAAUUUUUUUUAAUAUUAAUAAAAUGCUAUGUACUUGUCUGUCGGUAAAGAAGUAAAGGGUGCGUAAGGGAUUUUUGAGAGAAAUUUUCCGGCUGACAGCAGGUUAAGGGAAUUUAAAAGGCAGCACGAUGCGUAGUACGCGCAGACCACUCGCUCGUCCCUAAUAACAGCACGAACCGGUUUUGCGUGUCUAUAGGUGAAUAUAUGUAUAUCUGUACGGUAAGAGUAGUCGGACAUGGCAGCCAGUGGCAGGGAAGCGGCGCCUACGUAUCACGAGCAGUACGGACGAAGGAGGUUACGUUUAAUAUUUUUGGCUAGGCAUAAAACGAGGCGAAUUUUGUAACGAGGAAAAUUGAGCAACCAAACAUUUCUUCUGGUAGUUUAAAAUGAUCCACUGUUCUUGGAUAAGAGAGAGAGAGAGAGAGAGAGAGGGGGGAAUAGUAUGCUUCUAUAGGUUAGGUUCACUC
This is a long non-coding RNA of Cephus cinctus (wheat stem sawfly), 3879 nucleotides long. RefSeq lists it as uncharacterized. The record is from RefSeq and is a predicted model, not a curated record. Lineage: Eukaryota; Metazoa; Arthropoda; Insecta; Hymenoptera; Cephidae. The transcript has 4 exons.